CCAAAACUCUACACCAUUUCUUUAUCCAUGAGUACAUGUUAUACCGUUUGGCAAGAGUAAAUGCUUUCAAAAUACUCAAUAUGAACUAGCUUUGCUUUCAUUCUUGACUAUAUCAAAAAUUUCACUUGUAUACUGUUUGUUCUACUGUACUCUUUAGUCCGCGUUCUUCGUUCUUUUGUAUUAUAAUGUACUCUGUGCUUCCUCGCUCCUCCUUACUGUAUACAGUCCGGUUUCAAUGUGCCUUGUUAAUAAUUCAUUCGUUAUAUUCUUCACCAAUUCUCAUUCACUCAUUCGUUUAUCUAGCGACACUUAAUCUUUCUUUUUAUUUUUUCACUGAAUUUCAUAUACCUGCAUCAAAUUCUUCACUGAAAUACUCGCUCCUUGUUUACCUAUAGUACAUGUCUUCACCUAGUACAAUUCUCUUUCACAUAAAUAGCAUCUUCAACUUUCCCAUCCCUUACUCUGUAUGCACCCUUUGAAAGCCAGACUCCAUUGGAUUCCAAGAUACACCACGUUGAAAGUAAGGACCCAAUAGUCAUAUUCACAAAUUAUAGUAUAGUUAAGAAAAAUGGAAACGAAGUGUUCAUUUAGUCCCACCAACAUGGGGCAGCAUACUAUCUAAAAUUUUAGCUUAAACGAGUGGGCCCAUUUUUUCUGUAUGCACAAAGUAUGCACAUUGUUUGUUACACUCAAAUUUCUAUUAUGAAUAAACAACUCAAUUUUAUCUCAACUGUCUACUGAACUAAAUUUCUCUUUUUUCAAGUAGCAUACGGAAAUGUUCACAACGGAAUGAACGUUGAUCAUGAGCUAGACCUUACCAUCAACACCACCUUCUAAAUUAAUAGUGCUAGCUAGUGCACUCCCGCUUCCGGGCUACAGUACGGGAUGAUCAGUAUGAACGAGCUAACCUUAAUUAGUACUGUGGUUAUGGGAAGGGAAUUCCAUUGGAAGUGGAGUUUCAGUGUACUCACGUUCCUCCACUGUAAACCCCCCUUUUUUUUUCCUUCCUUGCUUUUCAUUAAUCCUCGCAAAACACCUACAAGCAUGACGUUAAAAAACGUUAAGCUUGAGGUAAGAGUCGCCAGUUUCCCUCGCAACCAUUUAUUACGUAACCCACGCUGCUAGGGAUUACGGUAGACAUGUGCGUUUCGUUACUAUAAGUUACGUAAUUCGUAAAUUGUUUUUAAAGUGUUUUAAGGAUGUGACAGGCUGAGGUUGAGGGUUUCUUGUGUUCUAGAUAUUCUUAUGCAGUCGUAGGUAGGAAGAUUGGUUAUUGUUUACCGUGUCUACUGGUAACAAACGGUUAUUAAAGAACCAAUAAUGGAUAUUUGAAAACAUCAAGGUGAAUUAUAUAAUAUAAUUUAAUAUUAUAGACAUGCCCAAAUGACUUAAAACUGGAUUGGAAAACGUAAGUUUGUAUUAAAAAUUUAACUUUGAGGAAUUCUAGAAUUCUAGUUUAUAAGGGUUUAUUUUUUUUGCUUUGGCAGUCAGACUAUGAGGAUGAAAAAUCAGCAACGAACAAUAGAAAAUAGUGUUAAUUAAUUUACGUAACCAUGA
RNAcentral lists this long non-coding RNA (1557 nucleotides) under Schizosaccharomyces pombe (fission yeast). The record is from RNAcentral. Lineage: Eukaryota; Fungi; Ascomycota; Schizosaccharomycetes; Schizosaccharomycetales; Schizosaccharomycetaceae.